GAUGAACGCUGGCGGCGUGCCUAAUACAUGCAAGUCGAGCGAACAGACGAGGAGCUUGCUCCUCUGGCGUUAGCGGCGGACGGGUGAGUAAUACGUGGAUAACCUACCUAUAAGACUGGGAUAACUUCGGGAAACCGGAGCUAAUACCGGAUAAUAUAUUGAACCGCAUGGUUCAAUAGUGAAAGACGGUUUUGCUGUCACUUAUAGAUGGAUCCGCGCCGCAUUAGCUAGUUGGUAAGGUAACGGCUUACCAAGGCAACGAUGCGUAGCCGACCUGAGAGGGUGAUCGGCCACACUGGAACUGAGACACGGUCCAGACUCCUACGGGAGGCAGCAGUAGGGAAUCUUCCGCAAUGGGCGAAAGCCUGACGGAGCAACGCCGCGUGAGUGAUGAAGGUCUUCGGAUCGUAAAACUCUGUUAUUAGGGAAGAACAAAUGUGUAAGUAACUAUGCACGUCUUGACGGUACCUAAUCAGAAAGCCACGGCUAACUACGUG
This 497-nucleotide ribosomal RNA is filed under the name uncultured bacterium. RNAcentral's name for it is "partial 16S ribosomal RNA". It matches the Rfam family "Bacterial small subunit ribosomal RNA", at positions 28 to 507 of the family's 1533-position model. The record is from RNAcentral.